CCUUUUGGACUCUCUAUGUUUGGGAUGGACUGGGGGGCGACUCCAGCAUGUUAACCAUAGACAGUUUAAUAAGGAGAAGGUGUUGAAUGGGAUGGUGGUGAGUCUGGGUAGGUGUGUUCCAGAAGAUGGGUUUCAUGGUCCCGAGGUUAGAGCUCCGCCUCUCCAGAUUUCAGGUUUUCCACGGGUGCUUCCCGCACUUGUGCUAAGCUACAAGUCCAGGGAUGGACUGGGGGAGACAAGGACUCUGCAGCAGGCGAGUCUACAAGUCUCUAAGUUCCCAAGGCUGUGCAUGUCCAUGCAUAGAGUGCUCGAGUGUCUGAGUGUCUGAGCAGGUGGGAUGCAUGCAACGUUGGUGCGGUCUGGCCUGAGAUCAGACGGUGACAAGUUCAGCUGGCAGGCUGCUGGUGGUCAUACUGAGUGCUGAGCACUCCUCUGACUGCAGCACGUCUGCCAGCAUCCUUGUGUGGGCUCUGGGCGGCCGACUGCUUAUAGGUGAUGUUCCAACAUACUGUC
This 513-nucleotide unclassified non-coding RNA is filed under the name Trichosporon inkin. RNAcentral also lists the same sequence under 1 other name. Lineage: Eukaryota; Fungi; Basidiomycota; Tremellomycetes; Trichosporonales; Trichosporonaceae. The record is from RNAcentral.